Nycticebus coucang (slow loris) is the source of this 107-nucleotide small nuclear RNA. Lineage: Eukaryota; Metazoa; Chordata; Mammalia; Primates; Lorisidae. The record is from RefSeq and is a predicted model, not a curated record.
AUGCUCACUUUGGCAGCACAUAUACUAAAAUUGGAAGGAUAUGGAGAAGAUUAGCCUGGCCCCUGUGCAAGGAUGACACACAACUUCAUCAAGCACUCCAUAUUUUU